AGAAUUAUAGGACAGGACCAUCGGAACGUUAUCUACAUCAAUGUCCACUCAAACAUUUUCAGUUCCCAAUAUUCGAAUUCACACACAAAUUAAGAAAUACUCUAAUAUUAUGACUACAUCAACCACAUAUGAUAUAAGUUAUAUAACCAAAUACCUGAAAGUAGGACUAUGGAAAAUCGGAUUUUCAGUUAAAAAUUAGGAACAUAAUUUAGUUACAAGUCAAAAUAACAUAGGGAAAGAUACAGCGAAAGCAGACUUUACUAAUACUUGGGAGCAAUACAUGUUCAUCUAUGAUUCUUUACUAACCAACAUGCUUUAUCAAUGGAAAGCAGAGGCGGGGAUGAACAAACAAAGAGUUAAAGCAAGUUUAGAACCUUAUAUUCUCGUUGAUUGGGUUUUGGGCGACGUCUUCCAUAAAAUCCUAGCCGGCAACUUAGGAAUUCAAUUCAGCAACAAAGCGAUGAUAUGUGUUAUGGUCGGCACUGCUCUUAAAGCCAGGAAUGAAAUCAGAAAAGAACCUGAGAACUGCAGCUAGAUGUUGUGGAUCUUUAGAAA
RNAcentral lists this long non-coding RNA (555 nucleotides) under Salvia miltiorrhiza (redroot sage). Its description in RNAcentral is "long non-coding RNA (SMIL_LNC005062)". The record is from RNAcentral. Lineage: Eukaryota; Viridiplantae; Streptophyta; Magnoliopsida; Lamiales; Lamiaceae.